Molecule: long non-coding RNA, 943 nt
Organism: Panthera uncia (snow leopard)
Lineage: Eukaryota; Metazoa; Chordata; Mammalia; Carnivora; Felidae
Exons: 2
Source: RefSeq, a predicted model, not a curated record
CUCCCUAGCUCUCCUGGCCCCUUGGCUGCCCGUUUUGAUCCAAAUAGUCAGGGGGAAUUAAUGCGUUUAUAUUUUUAACCCAUUCGAGGCCCCGCCAGCCGCGCGCAGCAGGCCCCCUCCUGGUCCCUUUUAACCCUUUGAAUGCCCAGCAGUUUGGAGAUACAAACUAAAGUCGUAAAACACAGGAGACCAGCUACAAGCUGAGGGGUUCGAGAUUCAGAGAAUCGGACAGGCUGGUCCCUGGCCGACCUGGAAAGGACGUUUGCGCCUCGCUCACUUGCUCGGUUCCUCAGUUUCUCCGUCUGUGAAUGGGAUUCAAUGUCACAAAGUAGCCAAGAAAAGAUGGGGCGGAAUUUUCGUAAAGACAAAGUGUGUAAAAGUCUGAAAGGCUUCCUUCAGCGCCCAGAAGACCCGGAGGGGUUGUGAUGGGGCAGAGGACACCGCGGGAUGGCGUAACCAGGGCAACCAUUCCCAAAAUAACCCCUUUCUCUUGGCAUUGUCUGCGAGGCUUGAGGCUGAACUGCAAGGUCUCCUGCCAGGGGAGGCUGUGCUGUGCUGGCUCUAAACGCGAGCCAUAACCCUCACUCAGAAGUUGCCUGGAGGGAUUCGAUCCCACCAAGGUGCCUAGGUGGGGCGCUGCUCACUGAGGGGCGCCCCAUCCCUCCCCCCCGCAAAAGUCCAUCUGAGCCGGCAAGAGCUGGAACAGGCAGCCUCUGGUGGGUACUACCCUAGGGAUUCGUCCUCUCAAGGGAAUGAAGUUCCUUGUCGACCUCGCUGCUGGCGGGGAGCCUGGCUGGGAGAUGGGCGUCCAUGGUCAGGUCCCAGGACGUGCUGAUGGCUCUUGGAGUCUGGAUGUUGGGGGGGGGGGGGUGUGAAGGGCAAAAAAACUUCAUGUACCACAUCAUCUUUUCCCUUUUGACAUCAAAAACGCAGCUUUUUCGGA